AUGGCGGAGGCGACGCUGGAGGGGAGCGAGCCGGUGGAUCUGUCCAAGCACCCCUCCGGCAUCAUCCCCACACUCCAGAAUAUCGUGUCAACAGUCAAUUUGGACUGUAAGUUAGACCUCAAAGCAAUAGCUCUGCAAGCACGUAACGCGGAAUAUAAUCCAAAGCGUUUUGCUGCAGUUAUCAUGAGAAUAAGAGAACCAAAAACUACAGCACUGAUAUUUGCGUCAGGUAUGUACUGGAGCAAAGAGCGAACAGCAGUCCAAGCUUGCAGCAAGAAAGGUAUGCCAUUGUUUGCUUCGAUUAUUUGGUCUAUGCUGGCUGAGAGGUUUCUGAAGUCUAACACACAAUGUUGUUCCCAGUAUGCUCGUAUUAUUCAGAAACUUGGCUUUCCAGCUAAAUUCAAGGACUUCAAAAUUCAGAAUAUCGUUGGCUCUUGUGAUGUCAAAUUUCCAAUUAGACUGGAGGGCCUUGCAUAUUCUCAUGGUGCUUUCUCAAGUUAUGAGCCAGAACUUUUUCCUGGUCUAAUCUAUCGAAUGAAGCAACCGAAGAUUGUUCUUCUGAUUUUUGUUUCAGGCAAGAUUGUCUUGACGGGGGCAAAGGUGAGAGAAGAGACAUACACCGCCUUUGAAAACAUAUAUCCUGUACUCACAGAGUUCAGAAAAGUUCAGCAAUGA
This 675-nucleotide ribosomal RNA is filed under the name Triticum aestivum (bread wheat). Its description in RNAcentral is "partial small subunit ribosomal RNA". The record is from RNAcentral. Lineage: Eukaryota; Viridiplantae; Streptophyta; Magnoliopsida; Poales; Poaceae.